This 492-nucleotide ribosomal RNA is filed under the name uncultured bacterium. RNAcentral describes it as "partial 16S ribosomal RNA". It matches the Rfam family "Bacterial small subunit ribosomal RNA", at positions 29 to 507 of the family's 1533-position model. The record is from RNAcentral.
AGUGAACGCUGGCGGUAGGCCUAACACAUGCAAGUCGAACGGCAACACGAUGCAGCCUGCCGCUUUGGUGAGGAGAGGCGCACGGGGGAGAGAUGUACGGGAAACUGUCCGUUGGCGGGGGGGAACUCCUGGAAACAGUAACUCUAAUCCCACAAACGACCUACACGUAAAAGCGGGAGAUUUUCGGCCCUUGCGCGCGUGAGUGCGCAGAUGUGGGAUUAGCUAGUUGGGGGGGUAAGGGCCCACCAAGGCGACGAUCCCUAGCUGGUCUGAGAGGAUGACCAGCCACACUGGAACUGAGACACGGUCCAGACUCCUACGGGAGGCAGCAGUGGGGAAUAUUGCACAAUGGGCGCAAGCCUGAUCCAGCCAUGCCGCGUGGAUGAAGAAGGCCUUCGGGUUGUAAAGUCCUUUUGGCGGGGAAGAAGAGAGUAAGGUUAAUACCUCUGCUCUUUGACGGUACCCGAAGAAGAAGCACCGGCUAACUCCGUG